UUUUUUCUCCUAAUUUGAGCUCCACCUGUCCUUCCCGCCGAUUGGCCCAGUGAGCUAAGAAAUCAGGAUGGGGGAGCAACUUUUGCAUUAAAUACAGCUCACAAAUGAUCUUUCCUGCCCAUUCUCAAACCAUGAAAUUUCCGCACUUCCUGAUAUAGAGGCCUCAGAAACAUCUUUGAUUCCUUUCUCCAGGGGCUCACUAAGCCCUGUGGUUCUACGUCUAUUAUUAAUUCUUUCAACAAGUAUUUAUGAGGCCUGCUAUGUGACAGGCUCCAUACUUGGCACGGUGGAUAAAAAGAGGAAUAUGACACAGAUUGCAAAAGAGAGACAAGUAAACGGAAAUCAGAGCAUAGUGAUUGUGUAAUAUGUGUAGAGGCUGAUUUAAUCACAGGGAGCACAGAGGACGGUACCUAAAUCAGAAGUGAUCUGGGGAGGUUUCCUGGAAAAGGUUUCAAACAAAGCCAUAAAUGUUGAUGUGGAUAUCAGGACAGUGUUUCAAGCAAUUUAGAUACAAUAUAAAAUAUACUGAUGCCAUAGUAGAAGAAGUUGAAGCCACUUUGCCAAGAUAUUUGGUUCUGAUACAAAGGAAUUUUUUCUUGGCCUGGUCUUGACUUAACAGUGACUUUAGUACUAUCCUGUUCAGACACCUCAAGUCUUCAGAAGAAACCAGAUGAUGUGAAAGUAUAUCUAGGUCCCCAAGAGAGAUGCAAAUUACCCCACCAGCUGUAUUCCCUCAUGUCAGGAAAAAGAGGGUCCUAUAUAUUUCUUGUCUAAUACAAAAUCGCAGAAGGCUGAAACACAUUAACUAGAAAAGAGAAUGCAAUUUGGAUUCAACUACCUGCUGUCAUGAAAGGUAACAGUAGUUAAUAAUGUUUGCAAUUCAUGGGAUGUUAGAGAUAAAAGAGUCCUCAAAUAUCCUCCAGCAAAAUCUCUCUCCUUUUACAAAUGGGCAAACUAAGGACAAGAGAAGAAAGAUGAGUCAAGCCUUCAGUCUUAUGCUGUGAUCUGAUGGUGAGCUAUAAAAUCACUGUCAAGAGAGCCCUUCCAACCACCUGUGCUCCUGGAAUUCAUGAGGGAAACACAUUCCUAAAACAAAACUAGCAACAUCAAGAUAUUACCAAAUGCUAGGCCAGGCGCUGUGGCUCACGCCUGUAAUCCCAGCAGUUUGGGAGGCCGAGGCAUGUGGAUCACGAGGUCAGGUGAUCGAGACCAUGGCGAAACCCCGUCUCUACUGAAAAUACAAAAAUUAGCUGGGUGUGGCAGAGGGUGCCCAUAGUCCCAGCUACUCGGGAGGCUGAGGCAGGAGAAUGCCGUGAACCCGGGAGGCGGAGCUUGCAGUGAGCCGAGAUCACGCCACUGCACUCCAGCCUGGGUGACAGAGCAAGACUCUGUCUCAAAAAAAAAAAAAAAAAAAAAAAAAAGAUAUUACCAAGUGCUCUUUUUCCACUCUUAUUCUUCAAUCUCCAGUAAUUUAGCACUCUGUUAACUAUAUUAUAAUCUAAAAAGUUCAGGAAUAAGCUGGGCACUGUGGUUCAAGCCCGUAGUCCCAGCACUUUGCAGAUCACUUGAGCCAAGGAGUUCAAGACCAGCCUGGGCAACCUGAUGAAAGCACAUUUCCACCAAAAAAAAAAAAAAAAAA
Gorilla gorilla gorilla (western lowland gorilla) is the source of this 1639-nucleotide long non-coding RNA. RefSeq lists it as uncharacterized. NCBI's taxonomy places the organism in Eukaryota, Metazoa, Chordata, Mammalia, Primates, Hominidae. The transcript has 3 exons. The record is from RefSeq and is a predicted model, not a curated record.